Molecule: small RNA, 29 nt
Filed under: Bombyx mori (domestic silkworm)
Lineage: Eukaryota; Metazoa; Arthropoda; Insecta; Lepidoptera; Bombycidae
Description: ovarian small RNA-22266
Source: RNAcentral
UAGCAGCCAAAGAGCUGCCGGGGACAUGU